Molecule: ribosomal RNA, 253 nt
Filed under: uncultured bacterium
Lineage: Bacteria
Description: partial 16S ribosomal RNA
Rfam family: Bacterial small subunit ribosomal RNA
Source: RNAcentral
UACGUAGGGUGCAAGCGUUGUCCGGAAUUAUUGGGCGUAAAGGGCUCGUAGGCGGUCUGUUGCGUCGGGAGUGAAAACUUACAGCUUAACUGUGAGCGUGCUUCCGAUACGGGCAGACUUGAGGUAUUCAGGGGAGAACGGAAUUCCUGGUGUAGCGGUGAAAUGCGCAGAUAUCAGGAGGAACACCGGUGGCGAAGGCGGUUCUCUGGGAAUAUCCUGACGCUGAGGAGCGAAAGUGUGGGGAGCGAACAGG